Long non-coding RNA from Gadus morhua (Atlantic cod), 1661 nucleotides. The record is from Ensembl. NCBI's taxonomy places the organism in Eukaryota, Metazoa, Chordata, Actinopteri, Gadiformes, Gadidae.
UUUUGGAAAAAGUCUGCCAUGUCAGGAUCGCCUUAACUCACUUAAUUUAGCAAAGGUUUGGACUAGCAUACUAUGAAGCAAAGGGAGGGGAAUUGUACAAACACGCGUGGAGAUACACUUAGUAGGGCAUUCAAAAGGAUGCUUUACCUGGAGCGUUCUAACCCCCUGGGCUAUGGGUUGUAACUUUAAUACUGGGCAGGCGUGGAUUACGGCCCUUUCCCAUUCCUUUGCUCUAAAGAAAAUCUCAGCCCUAGCCCUCGCUGUUGCGCGUGCACGCACCGUGGAGCAAUGUCCCAAUACCACUUUAAGGUAGCUUUAAGGGGUAAGGGGGAGGGCUAACAUCCCCUCAAAAUUGAGAUUUUCGAUGGGCACCCUCAAAGUGAUUCAGUUCUGACUUGCUCCCACAAUACCUUGCGAGAAAACGGAAAAUCCAGAAAUAUCCUAGACAAGAUGGAGGACGAAAAGAUGCGACAGGAUUGGAAAAACACAAAUGACAUCGUUGAGUCCACUGCCACCAGCCCCCCCACCUCUCCCUCAUGCUCCUCCACCCCAGGCACCUCUUCCACCCCCCCAGACACCCCUUCCAAGAGGAGAGUGCCAGGGAGCAGGCGAGGCAUGAGGAGAGCGAGGCAAAGUUGGCGGAAUGGUGGAGAAGAUGUGAUUCUCCACCAUUCUCUCAAAAGCUGAGAGAGGGUGUGUGUGUGUGUGUGUAUUUUUAGGUGUGCGUGUGUGUGUAUUUUUAGAUGUGUGGUUCAGUGUUUAUUUAAAUAAAGUGUUUCUUCUAAAGUGUUCUUGUUCUUAACCGAUUAUUAUCUAAGGGUGCACUCACACACCUUUAACAUGUAGCUAAGUGACAUUCAAAAUAAAGGUAUAUUACGAGGGACAAAUAGUAUUUUUUUUUUUUUCAACACUUUAUUUAAACAUGCCAAUUACAAAAUAUAAAUACCAUUUCAGGUUAAACAUCUUUACAAUGGGUCUUGCUCGUUGCCCGAGACAAUGGCAGCCAGUCUGUCUCUUGUAACAUUACCAGGGGUCUGGUUAUCUGCUAGGGGGCACGGGGAGGCCAUGAUGAUGUCACAGGGUAGGGUUGUCCCAUUUGGUAGGGUCGGUUAGGGGUAGCAAUGAGGGGUAGCAAUGAGCAUGAGCAAUGAGGGUUAGGGUUGAGAUGUAGGGUUGAGACAGUGAGCAAAGAAACGGGAUUGGGCCUUAGUUAUGUGCUCUGAUUGGCUAAGCAUGGUGCUGAACUCCCGCCUCUCUGGAUGUUGUAUGUGUCUCUAUGCUGCUCCCUUGUGGCUAUGUGUUGGCAUUACAACUUGCUUUGUGGUAUUGUGCUGACCCCUAGUGGCUAUGUGUUGGCAUUGCAAUUUGUUAUGUGGCCCUGAACUUCUGAGUUCGCCGAACACCUGAGGGGUGUUCCACGAACGGAGGUUUAACAAACACUGAGUUAACGCUGAACUCUAGGUUGAUUGACCCUGUGCCGACCAACCCAGAGUUUUCGGUUCCACAGCAGCGGUUAUGCAUUAGUUCAAUCAACUCGGGGUUGGUUAACACAGGGUUGUGUGCGUCCACGCCAAACUUAAAAAGACGUGAUGUAUGGAUCAUGGAAACCCUGAUCGAUAUGGCGAAACGGGCCGCUUAUUUCAAUGAAAUGGAACUCCAGG